This 475-nucleotide ribosomal RNA is filed under the name uncultured bacterium. Its description in RNAcentral is "bacterial SSU rRNA". It matches the Rfam family "Bacterial small subunit ribosomal RNA", at positions 27 to 518 of the family's 1533-position model. The record is from RNAcentral.
GGACGAACGCUGGCGGCAUGCCUAACACAUGCAAGUCGAACGGAGCUUAAGAAGCUUGCUUUUAAGCUUAGUGGCGGACGGGUGAGUAACGCGUGAGCAACCUGCCUUUCAGUGGGAAUAAUGUCUUGAAAAGGACACUAAUACCGCAUAACGUAUAACGGUCGCAUGGCCGAUAUACCAAAGAUUUAUCGCUGAGAGAUGGGCUCGCGUCCGAUUAGCCAGUUGGUGGGGUAACGGCCUACCAAAGCUACGAUCGGUAGCCGGACUGAGAGGUUGAACGGCCACAUUGGGACUGAGACACGGCCCAGACUCCUACGGGAGGCAGCAGUGGGGGAUAUUGCGCAAUGGGGGAAACCCUGACGCCAGCAAUGCCGCGUGAAGGAUGAAGGUCUUCGGAUUGUAAACUUCUUUUGUCAGGGACGAAAAUGACGGUACCUGACGAAUAGGCUCCGGCUAACUACGUGCCAGCAGCCGC